CCAUCAAAGAGGAACAUUGCAGUAGCAGUUUCCAGUUUGUUCGGUGUAACCAGGUGUCCGGUGACUUAUGGACCGGAGUGCGAGCGCAAGGUGCCCGAUAUAGCGGUGCAGGGGAGGCGGAUAGAAUGGAAUGAGCACAUAGAAAGGACGGCGUCGAAUGGGACGGACAACAUUGCUCAGGAUAAUAAAGCGUUGGGACGAAGCGAGAAAAUAAAGGACAGAGACCCGCGCGCGAGAGAUAAAGAUAAAGAGAGAGAGAGAGAGAGAGAGAGAGAGAGAGAGAGAGAAUUGCCCCCGUCUCGCGAGAAGAGCCUUGCAUCAUGGUCCUGGAAAACGCGGCUGGAAAACUGUACGGUCCCCGAGUUUUUCCCCUCCGCAGCGUGGAUCGAGGACGCGCCGUGAUCGUACGGAGUUAACGCGUGCGGCUUCCUAUUCGCUGAGCUGCUCGGUGCCACGUGGCGAGAGAUGGAGGGUCAUUGGAUGCGUCACGAAGGGUGGAGCUAAAACAGUUCAGUAUCGCUUACCGAUCAUGAGGAGUGCAACGGCAAUGUGAUCGCGGCCCGAAGCCCUUAGGGCCCCCAGCAGAGCGCCAGCACCCGCGCAUACAAGGCCCACUACGCCCACGCCCAGAAUGGACCAGCGUACAGGUGGAGAACCAAGGCCGCAACAUUGCUUCGGCACUGCGUCCCUGGAAUAGGAAAUUCUAUACUGUGGUGGUCACUCUGAUGGAAAUGGAACUGUCCACCCUACAGCCCCAAACUGCCCUGCUUAUCGACAUUCCCUUUGUCCCUUUGGAAUCGAAAUACUCAAAACAGUGUGAGAAGUUCAAUAGAAAAGAUGUGCAAGUGAAAAUUUAUCUCAAACAAGAGACCAGUCUAAUGAAUAAAAAUCAGUAUUUAUCUCUA
Molecule: non-coding RNA, 905 nt
Organism: Megalopta genalis
Lineage: Eukaryota; Metazoa; Arthropoda; Insecta; Hymenoptera; Halictidae
Source: RefSeq, a predicted model, not a curated record